GGCUUUUUGAUUAUGAUUUAAGGUUUAACCUGCCCACUGAAUAUUUAAAGGCCGCAGUAAUUUGACUGUGCAAAGGUAGCAUAAUAAAUAGUUUUUUAAUUGAAAGCUGGAAUGAAUGGUUGGACGAGAAAAAUACUGUCUCUUUAAUACUUUUGUUAGAAUUUUACUUUAAAGUUAAAAGGCUUUAAUGAUUUUUAAAGACGAGAAGACCCUAUAGAGUUUUACAUUACUUUAAUUUAUGUUUAUGGAAAUUUAAAAAUUUAUUAUUUGUUUUGUUUAGUUGGGGUGACUGGAAGAUUUGUUAAACUCUUUUUUAUUUUUACAUUUAUUUAUGAAUUAUUGAUCCAUUUUUUUUUGAUUAAAAGAUUAAAUUACCUUAGGGAUAACAGCGUAAUCUUUUUAAAGAGUUCAAAUCGAAAAAUUGGAUUGCGACCUCGAUGUUGGAUUAAAGUUAAUUUUUGGUGGAGAAGCUAAAAUAUUAGGUCUGUUCGACCUUUAAAAUUUUACAUGAUCUGAGUUUAAACCGGUGUGAGCCAGGUUGGUUUCUAUCUUUAAAUAUUUAUUAUUUUUUAGUACGAAAGGACCAAAAAUUUAUUAAAUUAAUUUUAUUAUGAAUAUUAAUGUUGCUUUGGCAGAAUAGUGCAAUAGAUUUAGAAUCUUUUUAUGUAAUUUUUACAGGUAAUAUUUGUUUUUUAAGGAUUAUAUUUUAGUUGUUUUUAGAACGUUAAUUUUGAUUAUUUUUGUAUUAAUAGGAGUUGCUUUUUUAACUUUACUUGAGCGUAAGGUAUU
Molecule: ribosomal RNA, 789 nt
Filed under: Chalcosphaerium sp. MSL2007
Lineage: Eukaryota; Metazoa; Arthropoda; Insecta; Coleoptera; Byrrhidae
Description: partial 16S ribosomal RNA
Rfam family: Bacterial large subunit ribosomal RNA (bases 1-576)
Source: RNAcentral